UGCCAGCAGCCGCGGUAAUACUGAAGGCCCGAGCGUUAAUCGGAAUCACUGGGCUUAAAGCGUACGCAGGCGGACUUGUAGGUAUUUUGUGAAAUCCCACGGCUUAACCGUGGAACUGCAGAGUAAACCACAAGUCUUGAGACAUGUAGGGGUCAGUGGAACGAUGUGUGGAGCGGUGAAAUGCGUAGAUAUACAUCGGAACGCCAAUGGCGAAGGCAGCUGACUGGGCAUGUUCUGACGCUCAGGUACGAAAGCGUGGGUAGCGAACGGGAUUAGAUA
This 279-nucleotide ribosomal RNA is filed under the name uncultured bacterium. RNAcentral describes it as "partial 16S ribosomal RNA". It matches the Rfam family "Bacterial small subunit ribosomal RNA", at positions 506 to 784 of the family's 1533-position model. The record is from RNAcentral.